Arachis duranensis is the source of this 939-nucleotide long non-coding RNA. RefSeq lists it as uncharacterized. The transcript has 3 exons. Lineage: Eukaryota; Viridiplantae; Streptophyta; Magnoliopsida; Fabales; Fabaceae. The record is from RefSeq and is a predicted model, not a curated record.
CUCACAAGUCUCACCGUCUCAAAUUCUCAAUACAACACCUCUCGUCUCCGGCUUUCUCCAAUCCUCAUCAUCAUGUUCCUGCUUCUUUCACUCCCUUCUCCCUUGAUAAUGACAAUCACCGCAUUACUCCAUCUCUUGAAGGAUGGAGUGAAAUUUGAGUUUUUGAGAAGGUCACAUGAAGGUGAACGUCAUUUUAGUUUCAAUUGCUGCAAUCUCGAAUUGGUGUCAAAAGAGCAAUUUGCAAAAUCAAUCAAAUCAGAACCUUUGUAUUAGGGUUUCUUCGCAGAAAAGCAACGUGGACGAUCUAUGAUAUUGCCACCAUUAAAGAAGCAGGAGAAUGUUCAGUGUUCCUGCAUUGGAGUAAUACGGCGUCGUCAAGGUGAGUUUUCUGUUCUCAUUCUCUCCGGUGAUUGUUAAUGUACGGCUCGGAUUAUCCGUCCCAUUAGAGAACUGUAAAAUGCAAAUAAACUAUGUAGUCUCUCCAAUUCAAUCCAAGUGGUAAGCAACUUGUUGGUGGAAAAGCAUGCAUGAAAGCUAAAUGUACUAUUUUAUAACCAUUUAUCUGUUUUUCAAUAUAUAUGAUGUAUGUGGAAAUUGUAAUUAAAAUAUUUAGACUCAGUAAUCACGAAGUAACUUGGCUGCAUAUUACAUCCACAAUUUUAUAAUUUUUAACCUUGUAAUGACUUCACCAUUUGUUGAAUCUGGACUCUUAUAUUACUCUUCCACUUGCAAUUUAAGCUUAUCACUAUUGCAAGACCUUCCAAGGACUGUUACCAUGGCAGGUUCAUCAUCAGAUCAGGGUGCAACUGCUACACCAUCUUCACCUUUCAAGUAUGAUGUUUUCCUGAGCUUUAGAGGUGACACAAGAUUCAAAUUCACAGACGCACUCUAUCGUGCUUUGGUCAACGAAAGAAUCGAGACUUUCAGAGAUAGCGAGAA